RNAcentral lists this ribosomal RNA (48 nucleotides) under Oryctolagus cuniculus (rabbit). RNAcentral describes it as "18S RRNA - H5-H14 from Oryctolagus cuniculus (PDB 4CXG, chain a)". The record is from RNAcentral. Lineage: Eukaryota; Metazoa; Chordata; Mammalia; Lagomorpha; Leporidae.
ACAUCCAAGGAAGGCAGCAGGCGCGCAAAUUACCCACUCCCGACCCGG